AUUGAACGCUAGCGGCAUGCUUAACACAUGCAAGUCGAACGGCAGCACGAGGAGCUUGCUCCUUGGUGGCGAGUGGCGGACGGGUGAGUAACGCGUAGGAAUCUGCCUUAUAGAGGGGGAUAACCCGGGGAAACUCGGGCUAAUACCGCAUAAUCUCUACGGAGCAAAGUGGGGGAUCUUUGGACCUCACGCUAUUAGAUGAGCCUGCGUCGGAUUAGUUUGUUGGUGGGGAAUGGCCUACCAAGACUACGAUCCGUAGCUGGUCUGAGAGGACGACCAGCCACACUA
RNAcentral lists this ribosomal RNA (288 nucleotides) under uncultured bacterium. RNAcentral describes it as "partial 16S ribosomal RNA". It matches the Rfam family "Bacterial small subunit ribosomal RNA", at positions 30 to 315 of the family's 1533-position model. The record is from RNAcentral.